This 71-nucleotide transfer RNA is filed under the name bacterium. RNAcentral describes it as "tRNA-Ala". It matches the Rfam family "tRNA". From Rfam's summary of the family: Transfer RNA (tRNA) molecules are approximately 80 nucleotides in length. Their secondary structure includes four short double-helical elements and three loops (D, anti-codon, and T loops). The record is from RNAcentral.
GGGGCCGUAGUUAAACGGAAUAACAGGUGGUUCGCAAUCACCAGUUGGGGGUUCGAUUCCCCCCGGCUCCA